This 582-nucleotide non-coding RNA is filed under the name Pongo abelii (Sumatran orangutan). The record is from RNAcentral. Lineage: Eukaryota; Metazoa; Chordata; Mammalia; Primates; Hominidae.
GGUGUGGCUGUCAGCUGGGAGGGAUCCCUCCGCCCAUGUAAACAUCAUAAAGGGCAAGGGGAGCGUCUGCUGCGGGCGGGGGAGCGGCUGCCUUCCCGGAGAGUCGUGUUGGUCCCUAGGUUCCCCUCAAGACGCCGGCAACCGCCCCCUCCCUUAACGUCACACCGGGUCCGUUGGGAGCCAAACAGCUGCGGCCUGAUCUGGGAGCGAUAGAAUCUCAUCACUUAGGGUCACUACCGGAAAUGGAGGAAGCCGGACUGGGAGACCUUGAGAGUUGGGAAUCGUAGGACGCAGCUGAAAAUUGGGAAAGAUGUUCUUAGGCUUGUUCUUCCUGUCCAUCUCAGUUAAAUAAUAAUCAUAACUCAUAUAAGUCUAGAAUUUGUCUCAAAGUUAUGCCUACCUGGCUCGUAGGAUGCCAACGUUAAGAGUGAAAAUAGUCAACGCUCUCCCGAGAGAGCACAUGACAAGACAUAAUCUUCAUCAAGACCCUCAGAGGCACAGAAUGCGCACCAAAGAGCCAUCGACGAUAAUAAUUCUUCUACCCAACUUUUAUUUAGUAUUAUUAAAUUUUCAGUAAAUUUA